UGGCUCAGAUAGUAGAGAAUCUGCCUGUAAUGUAGAAGACCCAGGUUCGAUCCCUGG
Molecule: transfer RNA, 57 nt
Filed under: Ovis aries (sheep)
Lineage: Eukaryota; Metazoa; Chordata; Mammalia; Artiodactyla; Bovidae
Rfam family: tRNA
About the family: Transfer RNA (tRNA) molecules are approximately 80 nucleotides in length. Their secondary structure includes four short double-helical elements and three loops (D, anti-codon, and T loops). Further hydrogen bonds mediate the characteristic L-shaped molecular structure. tRNAs have two regions of fundamental functional importance: the anti-codon, which is responsible for specific mRNA codon recognition, and the 3' end, to which the tRNAs corresponding amino acid is attached (by aminoacyl-tRNA synthetases). tRNAs cope with the degeneracy of the genetic code in two manners: having more than one tRNA (with a specific anti-codon) for a particular amino acid; and 'wobble' base-pairing, i.e. permitting non-standard base-pairing at the 3rd anti-codon position.
Source: Rfam by way of RNAcentral